This 402-nucleotide ribosomal RNA is filed under the name uncultured bacterium. Its description in RNAcentral is "bacterial SSU rRNA". It matches the Rfam family "Bacterial small subunit ribosomal RNA", at positions 355 to 774 of the family's 1533-position model. The record is from RNAcentral.
UGGGGAAUCUUGCACAAUGGGGGCAACCCUGAUGCAGCGACGCCGCGUGAGCGAUGAAGCCCUUCGGGGCGUAAAGCUCUUUCGACCGGAACGAUAAUGACGGUACCGGGAGAAGAAGCUGCGGCUAACUACGUGCCAGCAGCCGCGGUAAUACGUAGGCAGCAAGCGUUGUUCGGAGUUACUGGGCGUAAAGAGUGCGUAGGCGGUUUUCUAAGUUCGGUGUGAAAUCUCCCGGCUUAACCUCGGAAUUGCCCUCAAAACUGCACGUCUUGAGACCGAGAGAGGUAAGGGGAAUUCCUAGUGUAGAGGUGAAAUUCGUAGAUAUUAGGAAGAACACCAGUGGCGAAGGCGGCCAACUGGACAGAUACUGACGCUGAGACUCGAAAGCGUGGGGAGCAAACA